Molecule: ribosomal RNA, 420 nt
Filed under: bacterium
Lineage: Bacteria
Description: partial 16S ribosomal RNA
Rfam family: Bacterial small subunit ribosomal RNA
Source: RNAcentral
UGGGGGAUAUUGCACAAUGGGCGAAAGCCUGAUGCAGCGACGCCGCGUUGGGGAUGAAGGCUUUCGGGUUGUAAACCUCUUUCGCUAUCGAACAAGGCCCGCUUAGGGUGGGUUGAGGGUAGGUGGAGAAGAAGCGCCGGCUAACUACGUGCCAGCAGCCUCGGUAAUACGUAGGGCGCGAGCGUUGUCCGGAAUUAUUGGGCGUAAAGGGCUUGUAGGCGGCUUGUUGCGCCUGCUGUGAAAACGCGGGGCUUAACUUCGCGCGUGCAGUGGGUACGGGCAGGCUUGAGUGUGGUAGGGGUGACUGGAAUUCCAGGUGUAGCGGUGGAAUGCGAAGAUAUAUGGAGGAACACAGAUGGCGAAGGCAGGUCACUGGGCCAUUACUGAAGCUGAGGAGCGAAAGCAUGGGUAGCGAACAGG